This is a regulatory RNA element of 138 nucleotides. It matches the Rfam family "PyrR binding site". Rfam says of the family: This family represents the PyrR binding site and terminator structure. This RNA structure is found upstream of a variety of genes involved in pyrimidine biosynthesis and transport. The alignment also includes a portion of the antiterminator structure. The record is from Rfam.
UGAACCUUUAAUGUAGUCCUGUGAGGCUAACAAGGGAACGGCUGUUGUGACGUUUAGAAUAGCGCGAUUUGUGCAAUUCUAGUACAUCUUCACACGUAAACCAGACCACUUGCCUUCCGGGUGAGUGGUCUUUUUUAU